Molecule: ribosomal RNA, 514 nt
Filed under: Vespula orbata
Lineage: Eukaryota; Metazoa; Arthropoda; Insecta; Hymenoptera; Vespidae
Description: partial large subunit ribosomal RNA
Rfam family: Bacterial large subunit ribosomal RNA (bases 388-514)
Source: RNAcentral
GUCUUAUUUGAUUAUAAUUUUAGGUUUAUUCUGCCCAUUGAUUUUAAUUAAAAGGCUGCAGUAUAUUGACUGUACAAAGGUAGCAAAAUAAAUAGUUUUUUAAUUGGAAACUGGAAUGAAAGAGUGAAUGAAAUAUAAAUUGUCUCAAGAUAAAAAGUUGAAUUUAAAUUAAAAGUAAAAAUGCUUUUUUGGAGUUAUUAGACGAGAAGACCCUAUAGAAUUUUAUAAAAAUUAUUUUAAAAAUUUUAUUAUAUUAAUUUUUUUAUAGAGUAAUUGUAUUUUAUUGGGAGGAUAUUUAAAUUUAUUUAACUUUAAUAAAAAAUAACAUUGAUUUAUGAAUAUUUAUUAUUGAUUAUUAUUAUAAUUAUUAGAAUAAAUUACCUUAGGGAUAACAGCGUUAUAGUUUUGGAGAGUUCAUAUUGAUAAAAUUGUUUGCGACCUCGAUGUUGAAUUAUGAUAAAAAUUAAAUGUAGAAAUUUAAAAUUUUAGUCUGUUCGACUAUUAAAAUCAUACA